Peromyscus californicus insignis is the source of this 3995-nucleotide long non-coding RNA. RefSeq lists it as uncharacterized. The record is from RefSeq and is a predicted model, not a curated record. Lineage: Eukaryota; Metazoa; Chordata; Mammalia; Rodentia; Cricetidae. The transcript has 10 exons.
GGGGGUGCGGGGGUGCGGAGGAGCGGGGAUGGGCGAAGCUCUCCGGUUUCCCGCGGGCGCUGCCAGCCGCGUCUGAGACGUGCCAGGUAGAGUGUCGGUGGAGUUGUCAGGUGACCUUCUGACCUUCCUGGAACGAAGGGUUACGACACGACAUGGGCUGGAAAGACAAACAGGUGGCCCGAGCAAGCAGGAAAGGAAAACCUUUGGGAUGAGUGAUUCGUGCAGUGGCUUCUGCGGUUCAGGAAGGAGACAGAUGCAGGGAGUUCCUGGACGGUGCAGUGAGCCGCGCUCCGGCGGCGGAGUGGGGGGGAUCCCUCGGUGGAAAGCUCACUGGACGCAGACCCACCAACCGGAGAGACAGACCCCAGGGUUCUGUCCCAAGCACAGCCAGCCUGGAGGAGCCAGGGUGCACACAGACGACCAAGUUGUCUUCAGAGAGAGAGGCCCGGUUGAGAAGAAGACAUUAGCAGGUCACAGCUUAGAUACCUCAUUUUCUUCGGCAUGAUCUCAUGGAGUCAUCUUCUCAGAGCAUUGCAGUCAAUUGCGCUUGUCUACACCUGAUUAUGUUGCCCCACAAGAUGAACAGUAUGCCCCAACACACUCUCCCUACCACAGGCUCCAUAUCAGCAGAGCAGAAUGACACUACCAAUGGCGACCUUUGCAACUAGCCGUCUGGGGCACACUCCCCCAACUCAGCACAGCCCCUGCUUCCAAUCCCUGCAAGCUCCUGUCUGGGAACAAGAACCACAAGAUUACUGGAAAGCAGGGGACAACGGGCAGGAAGAAGGGGAGUGAACUGCUCUAGGAAGCUGGAGGGAGCAAGAAGGAGAAAAGAGAAGGUCACCCUCAUGCCAAGUGUUCCUCCUUGUCCACCUGCUCUGUGAAAAGAGGGGAUCUGGAAUAGUGGGGGUGCUAGAAAAGGAGGGGGAGGGGCUUCUGUUCCCCUCCUUCCACCCCAUCUUCCAGCAAGGUACGGCCUGGCAGGCUGGGGCCCACAGAGGGAGAAUGGGAUGCUGGAGGGAACGAAGGAGGCCAAGAAGAUGUCAUCGAAUGUGGCUAUGUCCUUACACUGGGCCGAGGACAAAGGAACAAACUCUCAGCUACCUCUCCAGCAUCAUGUCUGCCUACAUGCCACCAUACUUCCCACCAUGAUGAUAAUGAACUAAACCUCUGAAACUGUGAGCUGGCCCCAAUUAAAUGCCUUCCUUUAUAAGAGUUGCCAUGGUCCAGAUCUCUGUGAGUUUGAGGCCAACCUGGGCUACAGAGUGAGUUCCAGGAAAGGCACAAAGCUACACAGAGAAACCCUGUCUCGAAAAAAAACAACAACAAAAGAGUUGCCAUGGUCAUGAUGUCUCUUCACAGCAAUAGAAACCCUAAGUAAGACAAGGAAAUGGUGCUGAACUCCAGACCAGGCUACUCUGAAGAAGGAGGGAUGCUGGGACCAGCCAGAGAUGAUAAGGACCAAGAGUGCAGAAAGUCAGAAGGAGAGAGGUUCCAUGGAUUGUAAAGGCCAGGGAAGUGGGAGCUGCCUCACAAGAGGUAGAAGAUUGUGAUGAACAUAGCAAAAGAAAAAGAAUGCCUUUUAGACAUGUAAAAAACAGCCUAGUCAGGAUCCCCACUCCACCCAAGGCUGCACCUGAUAACCAGAGUCCAGUGGCAUCACUUCCUCAAGAUGACAGACACACAACUAGAACCCCACAACGCCCUCUGGACAGUAUGUAAGCAGAGACCAAGACCGUUGCCCUGCUCGGCACAUCUGGAGAGACACCACCUUGACCUGCCCUGCAUCUUGAGAUUCUCCCCCCCAGAUCUUGACCUUUGAGCUGGAGACAACUGUGAGAAGCAGCCGACCUUCAGCUGAGGUAUGCUGCAAAGGAUCCUGUAGAAUCAUAAGGGAAGAGAGAGCUCAGACGCUUCAGGGAAGAACAUGGGAGUCCUGGGAGAACUUGACUGCUUCCGAGGUAUCUGGCAGUGUGACUCUCUGAGUUUUUCCUCUCGGAUGGGCUAUGACCACACCAGUGAAAGAAGUGUGCCAAGGUCUUUUCACACCCUCUCUGGAACGAGGCUGCAGUGACUGAAGGGAAAAUGGAGCACCUGCAUAGUUCAUGCUUAAAAAUUCUUUAAAGAAAUCCUUGUUCUUUUGGUAUUUGUGAUUCUAUAAAUAAUAGGGAAGAAACAUCUCCAUUUGUUAUUGUUGUUUUUAUCUCAAAUUUUAAAAAAUACAGAGGUGAUGUCACAUGAGCCACUAAUCUCUGUUCCAAGGAGACAAUAAUAAAGAUUAUAAUCCUUCUGUCUCAGCUGGAGGUGGGAAAACUACUGUGUUCACCCCAUUUCUAAUGAGCUGCACCUCCCCUGGGGCACAAACCUGGCAAUGUCGUCCACUGUAGGCAGAGGGUGGAAAUCCAUGUGACAAUGUGUGAAUAUUUGGUAUUUAACUUGAUAAACAAUAAAAAGAGAAGAGCCCCUUAACAGUUAUUCUCUCUUUAUGUCUUUCAGAAUCUGUCUUAUUAUACUGGGAAUCAACCUAGAGUCUAGCCCAAAAUCUUUCAGAGUUCCCACCAACGCUUCGAAGAGGUUGGCACAUCUGUCGUCCCGGAAGAGGACCCCAAACUUCACGCUUAACUUCCCAUCAGCAUCUAAUUGCGGAAACACAGCGAACCCUUUAAAAGGUGGGGGCUGGCCUCCCACAACGGAGAUGCCAAGAUAAACGACAUGCUCCUUGCUCUUUGGGAGUCUGGGGUCUAGAGGUGAUACAGACCCAUCCCAAGGCCACAUGAAUACCUUCAGGUCGGUGCAGUCAUAACUUCCGGUUCACAUACAGGAACAUCACACCUUUCUUUGGAUUCUGCCCAUGAAAAUUGCCUGCUUUGCACCACGUGUACUGAAGACCAUUCAUUUCCCAUCACGAAGAGUCCAUGUUAAUGAGAGCCGAGCCUGUUAAGUCAUGCUAAGUCCUGCUGUGGCUUGCUAAGUCUUCCACAGGCUGGAUUCUGGCCUCUGUUCCAGCCUCCUCCACUGUCCACUUGAGCACUAAGCUGCAGCUCCGGGAGUCUUUCUAUUCCUCAAAUACCCCUGGCAAGGCUGCCAGCCUCCUCUGUCUUCUUACUUCUGCUCAGGCUAUUCCCUUUCCUAGGCUCAUCAAUCAGUCCCAGCUUGAACGGAACAUCCACCAGAAAGCAUUCCCUCAUCUGAGGAGGGCGCCCCUACUGGGUGUUCUGCAGCACUGCAUGCCUCUUUUCUUUCCGUUGGAAAGACUGGUUUCUGAGCUUUCCUCGCUAGAAGGUAAAUUCCUCUCCACAGGGAUCUGACUUAAAUAUUCCUUGUUACCAUGCCUGGGACCAAGAGGAGAGGUUAAACAAACCCCGUUUCAUGAACUAACAAGAACAAGCAAAGGAUGCUGGGAUAGAACUCCACGUGCGGAGACCAGCAAGUAUGAGCGACUGGGCAGGAGCGGUGUCGAUUCAAUCUGCUUUCACAAGAGAAGUUCUCCAGGCUGAGUAACGAGCUAAAAGGUGGAGCUGUGUUACUGUUUUCAUUAAGGUGAAGGCUUCAAAGAAACAACUUCAUCCAGAUGGAUUAUUACUAAUCCCUGGGAGCUUCUAAAAUAAGAGUGUCAUCUACAACUGGAUACCACCUGCUUAAAUGACACUGAUUGGGGACACCAGAUUUUCUUCCAGCUAAUAAUCAAAUGUGCCACUACCAUCUGCUGUUAUUUGCAUGAACACUGGAAUUGAAGGGGCUGAUCGCAGUAAAACGCAAACUCUUCAAUUAAAUGCAACUCUCUAAGACUUACUAUUAAUAAUAAUACUGUCCAUGCCUGGUGUGGUGGCACACGCCUUUAAUCCCAGCACUGGGAGGCAGAGGCAGGUGGAUCUUUGUGAGGUCAAGGCCAGCCUGGGCUACAAAGUGAGUUUCAGGAAAGACAGGGCUACAACAGAAAGACCCUGUCUCAAAAAAAAAACCCAAAAAUAAAAAAAUAAAUGUAUAAUGUCCAA